RNAcentral lists this ribosomal RNA (587 nucleotides) under uncultured bacterium. Its description in RNAcentral is "partial 16S ribosomal RNA". It matches the Rfam family "Bacterial small subunit ribosomal RNA", at positions 355 to 939 of the family's 1533-position model. The record is from RNAcentral.
UGGGGAAUAUUGCACAAUGGGCGCAAGCCUGAUGCAGCCAUGCCGCGUGUGUGAAGAAGGCCUUCGGGUUGUAAAGCACUUUCAGCGAGGAGGAAGGUGGUGAGCUUAAUACGCUCAUCAAUUGACGUUACUCGCAGAAGAAGCACCGGCUAACUCCGUGCCAGCAGCCGCGGUAAUACGGAGGGUGCAAGCGUUAAUCGGAAUUACUGGGCGUAAAGCGCACGCAGGCGGUUUGUUAAGUCAGAUGUGAAAUCCCCGGGCUCAACCUGGGAACUGCAUUUGAAACUGGCAAGCUAGAGUCUCGUAGAGGGGGGUAGAAUUCCAGGUGUAGCGGUGAAAUGCGUAGAGAUCUGGAGGAAUACCGGUGGCGAAGGCGGCCCCCUGGACGAAGACUGACGCUCAGGUGCGAAAGCGUGGGGCAGCAAACAGGAUUAGAUACCCUGGUAGUCCACGCUGUAAACGAUGUCGAUUUGGAGGUUGUGCCCUUGAGGCGUGGCUUCCGGAGCUAACGCGUUAAAUCGACCGCCUGGGGAGUACGGCCGCAAGAUUAAAACUCAAAGGAAUUGACGGGGUCAAGCUGUUUCCUG